GUAGGUGGCAAGCGUUGUCCGGAAUUAUUGGGCGUAAAGCGCGCGCAGGCGGUUCUUUAAGUCUGAUGUGAAAGCCCACGGCUCAACCGUGGAGGGUCAUUGGAAACUGGAGAACUUGAGUACAGAAGAGGAAAGCGGAAUUCCACGUGUAGCGGUGAAAUGCGUAGAGAUGUGGAGGAACACCAGUGGCGAAGGCGGCUUUCUGGUCUGUAACUGACGCUGAGGCGCGAAAGCGUGGGGAGCAAACAGGGAUUAGAUACCCUGGCAGUCCACGCCGUAAACGAUGAGUGCUAAGUGUUAGGGGGUUUUCCGCCCCCCUUAGUGCUGCAGCUAACGCAUUAAGCACUCCGCCUGGGAGUACGGCCGCAAGGCUG
RNAcentral lists this ribosomal RNA (374 nucleotides) under uncultured organism. Its description in RNAcentral is "partial 16S ribosomal RNA". It matches the Rfam family "Bacterial small subunit ribosomal RNA", at positions 527 to 896 of the family's 1533-position model. The record is from RNAcentral.